ACAUCCAAGGUAAGUACUGUCAUUGAAAGUUCACAUUGGCGUGAACUCACGAUGAUUCAUGAAACUGUUGAGUUGAUCCAAAAGUUAAUUUCCCACUAUCUUGUAGGGUUCGUCUGUCCUGGACGUGCGAUAGCAGCUGCUGCUGUUUUACCUACGAGGUCACUCACCUGAUCAGUCUCAAAUGAGAGUAGGGAAGUGUUAAAGACAACAGCGCCCUUCACAGACUGGCCACCGUUAGAACGAGGGAGACACGAACGAUGCAGACAAAUACAAAGCAGAGACGUGGCGCCCUCCUUAGCUGUGUGAUCAAAAAGCUCCGGCAGCCGUACAGCCACGCUCCCACAGCCAUCACAGGGACUUCAAGACAGAGUCGAGAGCAGGAAAAACAUUGAAGAGUCAAUGAUGCGUCUGCAAGUGCCCCAAAUGAGAGAAACACUUAAAAUGAGGCGUGCAUGCUAGGAAUGUCUGGUCAGCUAAGUGACAUCACAGCCCUGAAGGCCCUGACAGGCCGCCCCCAGGUGGUGAGGGUAGGCAACAACAUCUCCUCCCUGCUGAUCCUCAACACUGGGGCCCCACAAGGGUGCGUUCUGAGCCCUCUCCUGUACUCCCUGUUCACCCACG
This is a long non-coding RNA of Oncorhynchus tshawytscha (Chinook salmon), 621 nucleotides long. RefSeq lists it as uncharacterized. The transcript has 3 exons. The record is from RefSeq and is a predicted model, not a curated record. NCBI's taxonomy places the organism in Eukaryota, Metazoa, Chordata, Actinopteri, Salmoniformes, Salmonidae.